This is a small nuclear RNA of Pteropus vampyrus (large flying fox), 106 nucleotides long. The record is from Ensembl. Lineage: Eukaryota; Metazoa; Chordata; Mammalia; Chiroptera; Pteropodidae.
GUGCUCGCCCCGGCAGCACAUAUACUGAAAUCAGAAUGACCCAGUGAAGACAGACAUGGUCCCUGAGCAAGGAUGACCGCAAAUUCAUGCAGCAGUCCAUGUUCUU